GAGAGGUGGCCGAGCGGUCGAAGGCGGCGGUUUGCUAAACCGUUAUAGGGAGAUAAUCCCUAUCGAGGGUUCGAAUCCCUUCCUCUCC
Molecule: transfer RNA, 88 nt
Filed under: uncultured Reyranella sp.
Lineage: Bacteria; Pseudomonadati; Pseudomonadota; Alphaproteobacteria; Hyphomicrobiales; Reyranellaceae
Rfam family: tRNA
About the family: Transfer RNA (tRNA) molecules are approximately 80 nucleotides in length. Their secondary structure includes four short double-helical elements and three loops (D, anti-codon, and T loops).
Source: RNAcentral